This 378-nucleotide long non-coding RNA is filed under the name Nicotiana benthamiana. Its description in RNAcentral is "long non-coding RNA (NBEN_LNC002078)". Lineage: Eukaryota; Viridiplantae; Streptophyta; Magnoliopsida; Solanales; Solanaceae. The record is from RNAcentral.
UUUACAGCAAGAAUUGCAGUUUGAGCAGAGAAAUUAUGAUAGGCAAUGGAUUCAAGAAUCCAAAGAACUGCCUCAGUUCUUGCUACAGACAAGUAUGGGUUGUUUAUUACAAUAUUAUACAUUUGAUUCUCUUGUUCUUUGGACAUUAAAGAGCUUAACUCUUCCUCUUCCCAUAACAAAGAAAUUGAGUUGGGGUUUACUUCUACUUCCUCUGUCAAACAAUUGUCUCUGUCUAACACGUCCAAACUUUCAUAUUUGCAAUACAAAGAAUCUAGUAAAAAUGGAAGCUUUUGGUGUUGUUGUGGUUGAUUGUGAUGGUGAGCCAUCUUCUUCCGUGAAGAAGACGGAUGGUUGAAUUUUCAUUUACUUCAUUUGUCG